AUGGGUUCUUGUGCGUCAGUUCACAAGGAGGACGUUGGGCUGCCCAAGAAGCUGAGCCUCGCCUUGUCGUUGCCGUCCAAGGUCGAUCUCAAGCGCAAGAUCAAGGUGUUCGGCCCCAGCAGCAGGAGCGUCGACUCUGCUAGCUUGGUGCCUGGGUCCAUGGACUCCCUACAAAAAAAAAAACUUGGAUCCACUAUGGACGGCAAGACACAUCAUCUGCUGCCUUGGAGUGACCAUGGCCAAGAAGACGUUGUUCGUACCCGUUCCCCGGUGCUGUCCGGCGAGUUAGUGCUUGGGCGCUCUUCAACGCCUUCGUUUUUGUUGUCUCCUAUGAUCUUUCGCUACACGCUCGGCCACUACCACAUGCCCUGCAGUAAGUCCAGUUUGAGGCGAGCCGCAGCCACGACAUCGACGGCAUCCAUCAAUCCUGGAUCCUUCGACAUCUGGAUGGACCCUAGCUCACUCAUGGACUACGACGAUGGGCUCAUCAGUAUCACCUGCCACAUCAUCGACAUCACCGUCUCCAUGUCGUUCUGUUGUUUGUCCCUGCUACCAAUUAUUGAUGACAUAACUUGUGAGGAAAGACCAUGGGAAACUGACCGGUUGGGCCCGCCCGUCAGGCACCACGCUGGCCAGUGCGCGCGUCGCCUGCGCUGGCUGCGCGCUGACUCGGACGAGGCCGGCUCGGCCCGUUGGCGCGACCGACCCCGACCCCGCGCUGCCAUGUCCUUUUCCUCGCACCUCGCCGGCGGCUGCCUCCCCGCCCGCCCCGCCGCCGCCGCACCACGCCGCCGUAGCCAUCGAUCGAACAGCUCAGGCGCUGUCACCUCCCUCCUCUCCCCCGCGGCUGUUGUGCCUUCCUCUCCCCCGCGACCGCUGUGCCCUCCUCUCCCCCGCGGCCGCUGUGCCCUCCUCUCCCCCGCGGCUGCCGUGCCCUAG
This 939-nucleotide ribosomal RNA is filed under the name Triticum aestivum (bread wheat). Its description in RNAcentral is "partial small subunit ribosomal RNA". Lineage: Eukaryota; Viridiplantae; Streptophyta; Magnoliopsida; Poales; Poaceae. The record is from RNAcentral.